UAAUAACCAUAUGAUAAUUAA
Caenorhabditis elegans is the source of this 21-nucleotide non-coding RNA. Lineage: Eukaryota; Metazoa; Nematoda; Chromadorea; Rhabditida; Rhabditidae. The record is from Ensembl.